This 251-nucleotide ribosomal RNA is filed under the name Ctenophora environmental sample. RNAcentral describes it as "partial Eukaryotic large subunit ribosomal RNA". It matches the Rfam family "Eukaryotic large subunit ribosomal RNA", at positions 1896 to 2138 of the family's 3401-position model. Lineage: Eukaryota; Metazoa; Ctenophora. The record is from RNAcentral.
GGGUAAUGUAGGUAAGGGAAGUCGGCAAAAUGGAUCCGUAACCUCGGGAAAAGGAUUGGCUCUGAGGGUUGGGCUCAGGGGUCUGCCUAUCGAAGCCGGCUGCUGUCGAUCGGCUGCCCGCGCUGCCUCGCGGCGGCAAAGGCGGCCGGUUGCGUGCGGUCGGUGGAGGUGGGUAGGGAGGGGCUCUCGGGUCCCGAGCCCUGGGCGACGAACAACCAACUCAGAACUGGUACGGACAAGGGGAAUCAAAC